CCCUUGGAGUUUAUCUUUUUCCUCCUUUCCCUAGCCCUCAUGAAAAAAAAAAUCUCUCUUUUUCUCACAACCAUUUGCAGAAAGCUCCAGUGGUAGACACCGUCGUUGACCUGCAGAUAGUCCGCAUGUCGUCCACUAGUGGCGAGGUCGUGCCCAGCCGUUGGUUACUUCUGAACAGCCAUCUACGUGCAGAUCUCAUCAUUGUCUUUCGCAACUGAUGCUCAGCAUCGCCUUUCGUCUGUGCUGCUGUUCAUUCCCCGAAGCCUCAAUCGUAGAUCCACCAUCAUCAAUGCUUGAGACCACUAGAUAUUUACUUAUUGGGAUUACUAGAGGUUGUAUUCUUUCAAUUCAAAAAGUUAAAGAAAUUGAAGGAUAUUUCGAAGGUUGUUCAAGCUCCCAAGGUGACGAUAAAGGCAAGCUUGAAGGAUUCUUCUUCGGAUCCCCUUUUUUUUUUCUCUCUAAAUCUUAUACUUGAAUUGAUGUAUGAAAAUAUGUUUGUGCAAGCUAUGAGUGGCUAAACUUGCUUAUUUUAGGGUAUUAAUGAAGUUGUUAUGAAUUUAGGUUGGUUCUUUUCAUGGAUAUUGUUGAACUCUUUGCUUUUUAAUGAUAUCGUAUUUCAUUCUCA
Molecule: long non-coding RNA, 625 nt
Organism: Benincasa hispida (wax gourd)
Lineage: Eukaryota; Viridiplantae; Streptophyta; Magnoliopsida; Cucurbitales; Cucurbitaceae
Source: RefSeq, a predicted model, not a curated record